CCUACGGGAGGCUGCAGUGAGGAAUAUUGGUCAAUGGACGAGAGUCUGAACCAGCCAAGUAGCGUGAAGGAUGACUGCCCUAUGGGUUGUAAACUUCUUUUAUAAAGGAAUAAAACGAGGCACGUGUGCCUUUUUGCAUGUACUUUAUGAAUAAGGAUCGGCUAACUCCGUGCCAGCAGCCGCGGUAAUACGGAGGAUCCGAGCGUUAUCCGGAUUUCUUGGGUUUAAAGGGAGCGUAGAUGGGUUGUUAAGUCAGUUGUGAAAGUUUGCGGCUCAACCGUAAAAUUGCAAUUGAUACUGGCAGUCUUGAGUACAGUUGAGGUAGGCGGAAUUCGUGGUGUAGCGGUGAAAUGCUUAGAUAUCACGAAGAACCCCGAUUGCGAAGGCAGCUUACUAAACUGUGACUGACAUUGAUGCUCGAAAGUGUGGGUAUCAAACAGGAUUAGAUACCCGGGUAGUC
Molecule: ribosomal RNA, 460 nt
Filed under: uncultured bacterium
Lineage: Bacteria
Description: partial 16S ribosomal RNA
Rfam family: Bacterial small subunit ribosomal RNA
Source: RNAcentral